AUGGUUACUAUGGAUUUUGUCGAGGGAUUGCCUGUCUCUGGCCGCUACAAUUGUCUGUUGGUGGUCAUCGAUAAGCUGUCAAAGUAUGGACAUUUUGUUCCUUUGCAUCAUCCGUUUACUGCAGAGUCUGUGGCUGAAGCAUUUCUGAAUACAGUUUACAGAUUACAUGGCAUGCCGCUGUCUAUUGUUUCUGAUCACGACCGAGUGUUUACUAGCAAGUUUUGGAAGGAGUUAUUUCAGAGGUUUGGUGUUCUACUCAGAAUGAGCACGGCUCGCCACCCACAAUCGGAUGGGCAGACAAAAAGAGUUAAUCAGCAAGUCGAAUGUUUUCUCAGGUGUUUUGUCAGUGCUCAUCCUUCUCGAUGGGCCAAAUGGAUUCCAUUAUGUGGAAAAGUUCUGGUAUAA
Molecule: ribosomal RNA, 405 nt
Filed under: Triticum aestivum (bread wheat)
Lineage: Eukaryota; Viridiplantae; Streptophyta; Magnoliopsida; Poales; Poaceae
Description: partial small subunit ribosomal RNA
Source: RNAcentral